Molecule: ribosomal RNA, 253 nt
Filed under: uncultured bacterium
Lineage: Bacteria
Description: partial 16S ribosomal RNA
Rfam family: Bacterial small subunit ribosomal RNA
Source: RNAcentral
UACGAAGGGGGCUAGCGUUGCUCGGAAUCACUGGGCGUAAAGGGUGCGUAGGCGGGUCUUUAAGUCAGGGGUGAAAUCCUGGAGCUCAACUCCAGAACUGCCUUUGAUACUGAGGAUCUUGAGUUCGGGAGAGGUGAGUGGAACUGCGAGUGUAGAGGUGAAAUUCGUAGAUAUUCGCAAGAACACCAGUGGCGAAGGCGGCGCACUGGACCACAACUGACGCUGAGGCGCGAAAGCUAGGGGAGCAAACAGG